AGUGAACGCUGGCGGUAGGCCUAACACAUGCAAGUCGAACGGCAGCACAGUAAGAGCUUGCUCUUACGGGUGGCGAGUGGCGGACGGGUGAGGAAUACAUCGGAAUCUACUUUUUCGUGGGGGAUAACGUAGGGAAACUUACGCUAAUACCGCAUACGACCUACGGGUGAAAGCAGGGGAUCUUCGGACCUUGCGCGAUUGAAUGAGCCGAUGUCGGAUUAGCUAGUUGGCGGGGUAAAGGCCCACCAAGGCGACGAUCCGUAGCUGGUCUGAGAGGAUGAUCAGCCACACUGGAGCUGAGACACGGUCAAGACUCCUGCGGGAGGCAGCAGUGGGGAAUAUUGGGCAAUGGGCGCAAGCCUGAUACAGCCAUACCGCGUGGGUGAAGAAGGCCUUCGGGUUGUAAAGCCCUUUUGUUGGGAAAGAAAAGCAGCAGGUUAAUACCCAGCUGUUCUGACGGUACCCAAAGAAUAAGCACCGGCUAACUUCGUG
This 492-nucleotide ribosomal RNA is filed under the name uncultured bacterium. RNAcentral describes it as "partial 16S ribosomal RNA". It matches the Rfam family "Bacterial small subunit ribosomal RNA", at positions 29 to 507 of the family's 1533-position model. The record is from RNAcentral.